Molecule: non-coding RNA, 28 nt
Filed under: Cricetulus griseus (Chinese hamster)
Lineage: Eukaryota; Metazoa; Chordata; Mammalia; Rodentia; Cricetidae
Source: RNAcentral
GACUCAAGUUCUCAAAGGAUAUAAACGU